UGCCUACGGGGAGGCAGCAGUGAGGAAUAUUGGUCAAUGGACGCAAGUCUGAACCAGCCAAGCCGCGUGAGGGAAGACGGCCCUAUGGGUUGUAAACCUCUUUUGUCGGAGAACAAAACCCGGGACGUGUCCCGGACUGCGUGUAUCCGAAGAAAAAGCAUCGGCUAACUCCGUGCCAGCAGCCGCGGUAAUACGGAGGAUGCGAGCGUUAUCCGGAUUUAUUGGGUUUAAAGGGUGCGUAGGCGGUCCGUUAAGUCAGCGGUAAAAUUGCGGGGCUCAACCCCGUCGAGCCGUUGAAACUGGCG
This 305-nucleotide ribosomal RNA is filed under the name uncultured bacterium. RNAcentral describes it as "bacterial SSU rRNA". It matches the Rfam family "Bacterial small subunit ribosomal RNA", at positions 335 to 638 of the family's 1533-position model. The record is from RNAcentral.